Molecule: ribosomal RNA, 427 nt
Filed under: uncultured bacterium
Lineage: Bacteria
Description: bacterial SSU rRNA
Rfam family: Bacterial small subunit ribosomal RNA
Source: RNAcentral
GGGGAAUAUUGGACAAUGGAGGGAACCCUGAUCCAGCCAUGCCGCGUGUGUGAAGAAGGCCUUAUGGUUGUAAAGCACUUUAAGCGAGGAGGAGGCUCUUUUGGUUAAUACCCAAGAUGAGUGGACGUUACUCGCAGAAUAAGCACCGGCUAACUCUGUGCCAGCAGCCGCGGUAAUACAGAGGGUGCGAGCGUUAAUCGGAUUUACUGGGCGUAAAGCGUGCGUAGGCGGCUCUUUAAGUUAGAUGUGAAAACCCAGGGCUCAACCCUGGGAGUGCAUUUAAAACUGAAGGGCUCGAGUGCAGGAGAGGUAAGUGGAAUUCCUAGUGUAGCGGUGAAAUGCGUAGAUAUUAGGAGGAACACCAGUGGCGAAGGCGACUUACUGGACUGUAACUGACGCUGAGGCGCGAAAGCGUGGGGAGCAAACA